Molecule: ribosomal RNA, 912 nt
Filed under: Phaeosphaeria nardi
Lineage: Eukaryota; Fungi; Ascomycota; Dothideomycetes; Pleosporales; Phaeosphaeriaceae
Description: LSU rRNA
Rfam family: Eukaryotic large subunit ribosomal RNA
Source: RNAcentral
AGCAUAUCAAUAAGCGGAGGAAAAGAAACCAACAGGGAUUGCCCUAGUAACGGCGAGUGAAGCGGCAACAGCUCAAAUUUGAAAUCUGGCUCUUUUAGGGUCCGAGUUGUAAUUUGCAGAGGGCGCUUUGGCGUUGGCAGCGGUCCAAGUUCUUUGGAACAGGACGUCACAGAGGGUGAGAAUCCCGUACGUGGUCGCUAGCCUUCGCCGUGUAAAGCCCCUUCGACGAGUCGAGUUGUUUGGGAAUGCAGCUCUAAAUGGGAGGUAAAUUUCUUCUAAAGCUAAAUACUGGCCAGAGACCGAUAGCGCACAAGUAGAGUGAUCGAAAGAUGAAAAGCACUUUGGAAAGAGAGUCAAAUAGCACGUGAAAUUGUUGAAAGGGAAGCGCUUGCAGCCAGACUUGCCUGUAGUUGCUUAUCUAGACUUUUGUCUAGUGCACUCUUCUGCGGGCAGGCCAGCAUCAGUUUAGGCGGUUGGAUAAAGGUCUCUAUCACGUACCUCCCUUCGGGGUUGGCCUUAUAGGGGAGACGACAUGCAACCAGCCUGAACUGAGGUCCGCGCAUCUGCUAGGAUGCUGGCGUAAUGGCUGUAAGCGGCCCGUCUUGAAACACGGACCAAGGAGUCUAACAUCUAUGCGAGUGUUUGGGUGUCAAGCCCAGACGCGUAAUGAAAGUGAACGGAGGUGGGAACCUUUUAGGUGCACCAUCGACCGAUCCUGAUGUCUUCGGAUGGAUUUGAGUAAGAGCAUGGCUGUUGGGACCCGAAAGAUGGUGAACUAUGCUUGAAUAGGGUGAAGCCAGAGGAAACUCUGGUGGAGGCUCGCAGCGGUUCUGACGUGCAAAUCGAUCGUCAAAUUUGGGCAUAGGGGCGAAAGACUAAUCGAACUAUCUAGUAGCUGGUUCCUGCCGAAGU